RNAcentral lists this ribosomal RNA (2160 nucleotides) under Hungatella hathewayi. RNAcentral describes it as "23S ribosomal RNA". It matches the Rfam family "Bacterial large subunit ribosomal RNA", at positions 698 to 2885 of the family's 2925-position model. Lineage: Bacteria; Bacillati; Bacillota; Clostridia; Lachnospirales; Lachnospiraceae. The record is from RNAcentral.
AGUCAGUUCAGGCAGACCCGAAACCGGGUGAUCUACCCAUGUCCAGGUUGAAGUUUCCGUAAAAGGAAAUGGAGGACCGAACGCACAUCCGUUGAAAAGGGUGGCGAUGAGGUGUGGGUAGGGGAGAAAUUCCAAUCGAACCCGGAGAUAGCUGGUUCUCCUCGAAAUAGCUUUAGGGCUAGCCUCGUAUUAGUUUAGCGGAGGUAGAGCACUGAAUUCUUAAGGGGGCGUCAAAGCUUACCAAGAGAUAUCAAACUCCGAAUGCCGCAUAAAUGAUGUACGGGAGUCAGACUGCACGAGAUAAGUUGGGUAGUCAAAAGGGAAAGAGCCCAGACCUACAGCUAAGGUCCCAAAGUGUGUGUUAAGUGGAAAAGGAUGUGGGAUUUCAAAGACAACUAGGAUGUUGGCUCAGAAGCAGCCACACAUUCAAAGAGUGCGUAAUAGCUCACUAGUCGAGAGGUCCUGCGCCGAAAAUGUCCGGGGCUGAAACACAACACCGAAGCUUAGGAAUUGACGUAAGUCAAUUGGUAGAGGAGCAUUCUUAACUGCGAAGAAGCGUUACCGUAAGGAGGCGUGGAGUGUUAAGAAGAGAGAAUGCCGGAAUGAGUAGCGAGAUGGAGGUGGGAAUCCUCCAGGCCGAAUAUCUAAGGUUUCCAGAGUAAAGCUGAUCUGCUCUGGGUAAGUCGGGGCCUAAGGCGAGGUCGAAAGACGUAGUCGAUGGACAACAGGUUGAAAUUCCUGUACCGCGUAUUAUCAGAACUGUGGGGACACAGAACCGAAGCCAAACCCGGGAAUGAAAAGACCGGGGCAAGCGCCGGACUGGUUAGACUGGAAAAUCCGUCUAGCAACAGGAAAGCGUGACGCGUACCGAACAAAAGUAGGGAAGUUGGUAUAGGGGCUGUCAAGAAAAGCCGCUAUUGUGUAAUACGUGCCCGUACCGUAAACCGACACAGGUGGAUGAGGAGAGAAUCCUAAGGCCGGCGGGAGAAGCAUUGUUAAGGAACUCGGCAAAAUGGCUCCGUAACUUCGGGAUAAGGAGCGCCCACGAGAGUGGGCCGCAGAGAAUAGGCUCAAGCAACUGUUUAGCAAAAACACAGGUCUAUGCAAAACCGAAAGGUGAGGUAUAUGGGCUGACGCCUGCCCGGUGCUGGAAGGUUAAGAGGAGAGGUUAGAGCAAUCGAAGCUUUGAAUUUAAGCCCCAGUAAACGGCGGCCGUAACUAUAACGGUCCUAAGGUAGCGAAAUUCCUUGUCGGGUAAGUUCCGACCCGCACGAAAGGCGUAAUGAUUUGAGCGCUGUCUCGACAAUGCACCCGGUGAAAUUGAAGUACCAGUGAAGAUGCUGGUUACCUGCGCCAGGACGGAAAGACCCCAUGGAGCUUUACUCCAGCUUGAUACUGGGAUUCGGUGUCGCAUGUACAGGAUAGGUGGGAGGCAGUGAAGGUAGGACGCCAGUCUUACCGGAGCCAUUGUUGGGAUACCACCCUUGCGAUAUUGGGUUUCUAACCUGCGGCCAUGACCUGGCCGGGGGACAAUGUCAGGUGGGGAGUUUGACUGGGGCGGUCGCCUCCGAAAGUGUAUCGGAGGCGCUCAAAGGUUCCCUCAGAAUGGUUGGAAACCAUUCGAAGAGUGCAAAGGCAUAAGGGAGCUUGACUGCGAGACUGACGGGUCGAGCAGGUACGAAAGUAGGACUUAGUGAUCCGGUGGUAUAAAGUGGGAUUGCCAUCGCUCAACGGAUAAAAGCUACCCUGGGGAUAACAGGCUUAUCACUCCCAAGAGUUCACAUCGACGGAGUGGUUUGGCACCUCGAUGUCGGCUCAUCGCAUCCUGGGGCUGAAGUAGGUCCCAAGGGUUGGGCUGUUCGCCCAUUAAAGCGGUACGCGAGCUGGGUUCAGAACGUCGUGAGACAGUUCGGUCCCUAUCCGGCGUGGGCGUAGGAUAUUUGAGAGGAGCUGUCCUUAGUACGAGAGGACCGGGAUGGACUGACCUCUGGUGUACCGGUUGGGUAUCAAACCCAUGGCCGGGUAGCCAAGUCGGGAAGGGAUAAACGCUGAAGGCAUCUAAGCGUGAAGCCCCCCUCAAGAUGAGAUAUCCCAUCGCAAGAGUAAGACCCCUUGAAGACGACGAGGUAGAUAGGGCAGAGGUGGAAGCAUGGCAACAUG